RNAcentral lists this ribosomal RNA (708 nucleotides) under uncultured organism. RNAcentral describes it as "bacterial SSU rRNA". It matches the Rfam family "Bacterial small subunit ribosomal RNA", at positions 23 to 703 of the family's 1533-position model. The record is from RNAcentral.
CUCAGAACGAACGCUGGCGGCGCGUNUUAAGCAUGCAAGUCGAACGGUAAGAAGUGCUUGACUUCUUGAGAGUGGGAACGGGUGAGUAACACGUAGGUGAUCUACGCAGGGGUUGGGGAUAGCCCAUGGAAACAUGGGGUAAUACCGAAUACGCUCAUUUGGCUGUGACCGGAUGAGGAAAGGCGCUUCGGCGCCGCCCUGCGAUGAGCCUGCGCCCCAUUAGCUAGUUGGUAGGGUAACGGCCUACCAAGGCGACGAUGGGUAGCCGGCCUGAGAGGGUGAUCGGCCACACUGGGACUGAGAUACGGCCCAGACUCCUACGGGAGGCAGCCGCUAAGAAUCUUCCGCAAUGGACGAAAGUCUGACGGAGCGACGCCGCGUGGGUGAACGAAGGCCCGGAACGGUUGUAANNCGCCCUUUUCUCCGUUGAGCGAAUAAGCACCAGCGAGGCGAAUUGCCCUGUGGCGAUGAACGGUAGGCCGAGCGAAUAAGUCCCGUGCCAAUUACGUGCCAGCAGCCGCGGUAACACGUAUGGGACGAGCGUUGUUCGGAAUCAUUGGGCGUAAAGGGCGCGUAGGCGGCGAGGUAAGCCUGGUGUGAAAGACCGCAGCUUAACUGCGGAACCGCGCUAAGAACCUGCUUUGCUUGAGUUCAGGAGGGGGGAACUGGAAUUCCAGGUGUAGGGGUGAAAUCUGUAGAUAUCUGGAA